UAGGGAAUCUUCGGCAAUGGGGGGAACCCUGACCGAGCAACGCCGCGUGAGUGAAGAAGGUUCUCGGAUCGUAAAGCUCUGUUGUUAAGGAAGAACGAGUGUGAGAAUGGAAAGUUCAUGCUGUGACGGUACUUAACCAGAAAGGGACGGCUAACUACGUGCCAGCAGCCGCGGUAAUACGUAGGUCCCGAGCGUUGUCCGGAUUUAUUGGGCGUAAAGCGAGCGCAGGCGGUUAGAAAAGUCUGAAGUGAAAGGCAGUGGCUCAACCAUUGUAGGCUUUGGAAACUGUUUAACUUGAGUGCAGAAGGGGAGAGUGGAAUUCCAUGUGUAGCGGUGAAAUGCGUAGAUAUAUGGAGGAACACCGGUGGCGAAAGCGGCUCUCUGGUCUGUAACUGACGCUGAGGCUCGAAAGCGUGGGGAGCGAACAGG
This 429-nucleotide ribosomal RNA is filed under the name Bacteroidota bacterium. RNAcentral's name for it is "Bacteroidetes bacterium partial 16S ribosomal RNA". It matches the Rfam family "Bacterial small subunit ribosomal RNA", at positions 355 to 776 of the family's 1533-position model. The record is from RNAcentral. Lineage: Bacteria; Pseudomonadati; Bacteroidota.